RNAcentral lists this ribosomal RNA (495 nucleotides) under uncultured bacterium. RNAcentral's name for it is "partial 16S ribosomal RNA". It matches the Rfam family "Bacterial small subunit ribosomal RNA", at positions 28 to 507 of the family's 1533-position model. The record is from RNAcentral.
GACGAACGCUGGCGGCGUGCCUAAUACAUGCAAGUAGAACGCUGAAGGAGGAGCUUGCUUCUCUGGAUGAGUUGCGAACGGGUGAGUAACGCGUAGGUAACCUGCCUGGUAGCGGGGGAUAACUAUUGGAAACGAUAGCUAAUACCGCAUAAUAUUGACUAUUGCAUGAUAGUCAGUUGAAAGGUGCAACUGCACCACUACCAGAUGGACCUGCGUUGUAUUAGCUAGUUGAUGGGGUAACGGCUCACCAAGGCGACGAUACAUAGCCGACCUGAGAGGGUGAUCGGCCACACUGGGACUGAGACACGGCCCAGACUCCUACGGGAGGCAGCAGUAGGGAAUCUUCGGCAAUGGACGGAAGUCUGACCGAGCAACGCCGCGUGAGUGAAGAAGGUUUUCGGAUCGUAAAGCUCUGUUGUAAGAGAAGAACGAGUGUGAGAGUGGAAAGCUCACACUGUGACGGUAUCUUACCAGAAAGGGACGGCUAACUACGUG